UUUUUUUUUUUAACUUUUUUUUUUCUGGGAUAAAAAUGUUGCCUAAAAAAAAAAGGUGCCUCAUAAAGCACCUUCGCUGCUUUAAGCAUUUUUAAGUUAUUGUGCAACCAGACAACUGAUAUGAAGCACAGAAACUCCUCUAGUUAAAGUGGUCACUGCAGAGCUUUCCUCGAUGUGAACGAAACUCUACUGGGAAGCAAAGGUGUGACGACUCUGCCCAACGCCAACAGAGGGCGGUAGAUACAGGGAUCUGUCACCUGAGUCCAGUCAAAUAUUUUCAGGCACAGGCAAGAAACUCUGAUGCACUCAGGGGGCACAUCUCCCAACAACAUUUGUGGGCCAUGGCCCAACAUCCGUAUGACAGGAUGUAUGUAAGUAUCAGACACAUUCUAGAACGUUUAAUCUUUCCACUUUGACACGUAUAUAUUCAUAAUGACCAAGGCAAAAUGUACGUGUCACGCUAUCAUUUAUAUAUGAUCCAAAGUCAGAAAACGAUCACAGAGGAGAGAAUUUACUUGUUAUUACACACGUCUGGGUGUUCUGUUGAUGGCUCUGGGAUCGUCAUAUGAGUAAAAUAAUUCAUAAAUUAUUACUUAUCCUAUAACAUUUUUUUGUGGCUUCCAUUUCAGUAAAAUCACAAAAUAUAUCAUUGCAGUCAGAUCUUUUGCAUAAUUUAUAUUCCAUCGACCAAAGACUAAAAUCUUUUUUAUAAAAAGCCAGAUAAGGAGUUCCGUGUGGCAAAGCAGGUUAAGGACCUGGUCCUGGCAUUGCAGUGGCCCUGGUCACUGCUGUGGAACAGGUUCAAUCCCUGGCUAGGAACUUCUACAUGCUGCAAGUGCAGCAAAAAAAAAAAAAAAAAAAAAAAAAAAAGAAAAAAAAGAGCCAGAUAAUAAAUGUUUUAGGCUGUGUGAUCUACAUAUGAUCUCUCUCAUAUGUUCUUCUUGGUUUGUUUUAUAAACCUUUAAAAAUAUAAACACAAUUCGUGGAGUUCCUACUGUGGUAAAACGGGAUCAGUAGUGUCUCUAUAGUGUUAGGAUUCAGGUUCAAUCCCCGCCAGGCACAGUGGGUUAAAGGAUCUGGCAUUGCCACAGCUGUGGCAUAGGUCACAACUGUAGCUCAGAUCUGAUCCCUGGCCCAGGAACUCCAUAUGUGGCAGGGCAGUCAAUUAAAAAAAAAACAAAAAAACUUAUUUGAUGGGGUAAAUAUAGCCCUUAGUUUGUUUGAAAUAAACUUCUGUCAUUUGUUGACCACUGAUAUUGACAAUAAUCAUCUAAAAUAUGAAAAAAAGUCAAACACAAUGUAUAAAAAAUUUGAACAUAGUCAUUAAAUAAUUAAAUGUUGUUAAAAAAUAAAUGUUUCACAAAUGUUUUAAAAUAUUUUUCUACCCCAACAUUCAAAAGUACUUAAGACGGAAAGGUAAAAUGCAAAGGAUAAUUGAGAUCAAGCUUUAUAUAAAAAUUAUUUUUAAAAAAGCUGAAAUAUAUACAUAUAUUCAAAAGUAUUCAUUAAAGCCCGCUAUCAUUUCCCAGGUUAGGGGUCAAAUCGGAGAUGCAGCUGGGGGCCUACGUCACAGCCACAGCAAACUGGGAUCCGAUUGCAUCUGCAACCUACACUGCAGCUUGAGGUGUAUGAGAAAAUGUCUCAAUAAAACGUAGAAAGGAGAGACCCCAGCCAUGAUGACUAAGCAAAGUCUAGCCAACUGCCCCAACCAGUCCUCCCCCAUGCAUCUGCUUCCGCGUCGACUACCUUGCCUGACGUCACUCCCGUCCAACCAGCCAAGCUUGGACCCGGAAGACGUAGCCCAUAAAAGCCUUGUGAAACCCUUCUUCCGGACUCAGACUCUGGAGAGCGAGCUCCUCUGAGCUCGCCGGCGUAAUAAACCCGAGUUCUCCAACUCUCCGAGUGCUCGCUUGGUUUCUCACCGGGUAAAAGAGCUGAUCCACUGCAGCCACAGAGCUGCUGGAGCUGGUACGCUACAGCCACGGGGCUGUCGCCAGAGCUGAUACGCUGCAGCGCAGGGCUGCUGGGUAUCUGCCGUAACAGAGGCAAAGCCAGAUACUUAACACACAGCACAAGGCCAGGGAUUGAACCCACAUCCUCAUAUAUACUAGUCGGGUUCUUAACCUGCUGAGCCACAAUGGGAACUCCAAAAUAAACCUAUUUUCAAUUCCCGAAUUCAGUGUUCAUCUAGCUGCCAAGGUCAAAAGUCUCAUCAUGUUACAUCAAAACCAAUACACGAGCAAGUUGAAGAGUCACAGGACUUGUUUAGGGUUACAGAAUGGUCCUCUGCCACCAGGUGCACCUGUACAACAGUGUGCUCUUUGGAAGCCCCUCUAGAAUAAAUAAUUGGGACAAUGAGAAACUAGAAAGGGGACACUCUAGGGAUUGCUGUUGAGACACACUGCGCAAGUAUCUGAUGCAGUUAUGGAGUGGGGGGGAGCUUCGUCACUUAAUUCACUUACGUCUUCUCUUUCCUAAGUGCUCCCUCUGCCCACAUUCUCCCUGAGCUAUGGAACAGUAUUGCUUGAUGUUGGCAGCAGGGCAACAGCAAACCUUGGAGGCAUUUAGAAGCAAGUGCCUUCUGCUUUGCAGACAGGACCAGAGAUGUGAAGUGGGGCCUGAAUGGUGUCAGUCACAGUGUGUUUAAUGCCAUGAGUUGCACAAUGCCACAGCUGAAUACCCGAUGUUGAGGGGCCGACUUGCCCAUGAUUUUUAAUAAAUUCUGCCCUUACCAAUUACUGACAUGUAGGAAAGUGGACCUGGUGUGGCUUCUGUCUGAUUUCUUAAAAGAAAUGCUAACUUCUGUGUCUUGAUGUGGAAAAAUUUGAGAUUACACAUAAUCCUAAUUAAAAACUAAAAAGCAUACUUGGAGGGCUCACAUCUUUAGGCUAGACUGAUUCCCAAAGCCACCACGAUCAGCCUUCUGGUCUACCACAUUUUCCUGUUGAUGUUUAUUUUUGAAGCAUUUAUGAUCAUUCUUCAUUCUGGAUAAAUACUCAAACAGUGAGAGUCAAAAGCACGGAAGGAGAGAUGUGUGAUUAGGUUGGAAAAGAAAGUGAAGGCCAUGCUUACACUGAUGUAUACAAAGGGGUUACCUGUGUUCUUUCACAUAAACUUAGCAGAACAUGGACUCAGCAACGUCCUAUUUACAAGUGGAGAAGCCUCCAAACCUGGACGUGUUGGUCUGUUUCUGGCUCUGCCACUGAGUUCAGAUAACUUUUUAGACAUCGUCAUUGUACUUCAGCUCAUUUUUGGUGAAAGGAGAGUACGUGGCAAAAAAAAAUUAGAUGAGAGAGUAAAACGCUCAAGUUAUAGAUCUGAAGGGAGCAUGUCCAGGAGAUGUGAAGACUCAGGACGUGGGGUUACCUCCAGUGGUUCUGGAAGAACAAACACACAAGAUAUCUGACCUGAGAGAUGGGGAAGGAGAAAGAAAAGGGGAAGGCAUGGAGUUCUGUUUCAGGCAUUUUGGAGCACAGGUGAGAUACCUAUAGAGAGGUUAAGGGUUAGACUGUCCCAAGUUUGAAACCCAACUUCAGUUCUUACAAGCUGGAAAAAGCUGCUUCUCCCUCUGAGCUUCUGUUGCAUCAUUUGCAAGAGCGUGAUAAUGAUGACCUAUCUCAAAGGGCCGCUUUGGGCAAUAAGUGAGCUAAUCAAAGUCAAGGACUAGUGCACAUUCCUCGGUAAGUACUCAAUAAAGCUGGCUAUUGUUACAAGAAUCAUUGGGAUUAGUGAUGGGAACUUGGGAAUCAUCAGCAGGAAGGCAAUAGCUGAGGAGGGGGGCAUAUGUAUUGGGGAGCAUAUGGAUUUGGGGGAUUAGAGGAAGGAAGUGAAAACUUUAAAGGGAUCAGAAGAGGAACAGUCAAGUAGGAGAAAGGCCAAGAGAGAGUUACAGAAAGACACCCGCCCCCCGGGUGAGACAAUAACAUAGAGAUUGUAUUUUCAGAACAGUGUGAAGAGUGAGAGUGAGCUAGAAUGGCAUUUUAUAAACCUUAGGGUACUGGGAAGAGGGGAGAUGUUUAAAGUGCAGAGUCUUAGAAAGCUUGACUCAGUAGUUCUUGGCUGUGGCCCAGGAAUCCACAGGGAUUUCAACUGCAGGUGGGCAACAAGCCACACUUGGAAGAACUCUGUGCUAAGACUGAACAUGCAGCCAGGGAGAGGUGACUCAGACAGUGGCCCCCAUCCUUUCAAGGUGGUCGGUUAGAGUGCAUGUGUUUCACCCUCGACUAUCCCCUGCAUUGAAGAAAGUAACGUAUUCUCAAGAGAAAGCAGGUUGCUUUCAAUAGGUUGUGUGGUGAGUAAAGGAAGAGCUGGUGGCUGGUGGUGUUUAUUUCCAUACAUUUAUAAUGGCCAAGAGAACUUAAAUAUCUGUAAUCCUAGAUUUGGAUGGGUGAAUGAAACUGGUUGAUCCUCAAGUAUUAAACCAACCUUGCAUUCCUGAAAUCAUCCAACUUGGCCACAGACAUAUCGAUCAGACCUCAGUCUCGGGGUUCAGGCAGACAACAUCCAAACAACACAACAGCACUCUGAGAUUUGGAAGUAAACACCAGGGCUUCUAGAUCAGUGAUCUUCAAACUAUUUUUCUCUCAUACUCCAUAAUUUUUUUUAAAGUAUGUACUCCCUUACAGGUUUUAAAGUUGACAUCAAGAAGAUUUUCAUAUGUUUACGUAGCUUAAAAGGAUUCUGGUACAUUAUAAUUAUUUGUUACAUUUCUUUAAAUAUAUUGAAAGUAACCUAAAUAUCAUGUAUCCUUGAUUUCCACUGUCAUCUAAUUAAAUCACACGAGGGUGUUCCCAUCAUGGCUCAGUGGUGAUGAAUCCAACUACUAUCUAUGAGGACAUGGGUUCGCUCCCUGGCCUCGUUCAGUGGGUUAAGGAUCCAGAGUUGCUGGGAGCUGUGGUGUAGGGUCACAGAUGUGGCUCGAAUCUGGCAUGGCUGGGGCUAUGGCGUAGGCCAGCAGCCACAGCUCCAAUUCGAUCCCUAGCCUGGGACCUUCCAUAUGCCACUAGCGCAGCCCUAAAAAGCAAAAUCACACCUGAGUAAGCUGUUCUUUAGUAGUUGAAAUUUUACAUCCUUAUUUAAGGAGUUUUUCUCCUUAGGUUUGCACUUCAAUUCCAUAUCCCCAUGGAAUUUUAUAUUAGUGUAAUAUUGAUCAUCUUAUCAAACGGCUCAGCAAGGAAAUUUACAUAUAUGUUAACAAAGUUAACUUCCUUUAGUCGGAACUGUUACAAUGAUUAAUUUUUGUAUAAUUGAUGAAAACUGGGUGAAUGUCCUACAAAGUCAGAAUGUUGUUGAAGCUGGGUCACAGGUGCAGAGAUUAUCACUAUGAUUCUCACUCCUCUGUAUAUUUGAAAUUUUCCACAAUAAAAAGUUAAAAAAUAUAAAAUGUUGUUGGCAGUAGCAUUUUAAUAAGAUGGAUGGUCCCUUUCUUUGGUAUAGAUCAAGUAACAAUCACUGGCUUUGGAGUUCCCAGGCCAGGAAUGGAACCCUCCCUAGAGCAGUGAUAAUCCCAGAGAGGUACCAGGGAACUCCUCUGCACCCUAUUUUCAUGCCUGUGUAUCUUCGAGUGUGACUACGUCAAUAUAAAUACAUAGGUAUAUACACAUGCAGAGAGACACAUGCUUUUUAUUUUUUAAAAUGUCCAUAAUCCACUCAUCUGUCGAUGGACAUUUAGGUUGUUUCCAUGUCUCGGCUACUGUGAGUAGCGCUGCAAUGAACAUACGGGUACAUGUGUCUUUUUCAAGGAAAGUUUUGUCUGGAUAUAUGCCCAAGAGUGAGAUUUUAGUACCUCAGAAUUUAGUUUUCUGAGGUACUGCCAUACCGUCUUCCAUAGUGGUUGCACCAAUUUACAUUCCCACCAGCAGUGAAGGAGGGUUUGACAGAUGAAUGGAUUAAUAUACACAAUGGAAUAUUACUCAGCCAUAAAAAAGAACAAAAUAAUGCCACUUGCAGCAACAUGGAUGGAACUGGAGACUCUCAUGCUAAGUGAAGUAAGUCAGAAAGACAAUUACCAUAUGAUAGCACUUUUAUCUAGAAUCUAAUAUAAGGCACAAAGGAACCACAGAAAAGAAAAUCAUGGACUUGGAGAACAGACUUGUGGUUGCCAAGGGGGAAGGGGAGGGAAGGGAAUGGACUGGGAAUUUGGGGUUAAUAGAUGCAAACUAUUGCCUUUGGAAUGGAUUAGCAAUGAGAUCCUGCUGUGUAGCACUGGGAACUAUAUCUAGUCACUUAUGACGGAGCAGGAUCAUGUGAGAAAAAGGAAUGUGUAUGUGUACGUGUGACUGGGUCACCUUGCCGUACAGUAGAAAAUUGACAGAACACUGUAAACCAACUAUAAUGGGAAAAAAAAUCAUGAAAAAAAUAAAAUGUCUUCAGAGUAUUCCAUGAAAUUAAUGAAUGGUAAGUUAUCUAGCCAAACUCUUCCCUCCUUGGGGUCAUUUAAAUCAUUUCCAGGAGUUCCCAUCAUGGCUCAAUGGACGCAAAUCUGACUAGCAUCCACAAGGAUGCAGGUUCGAUCCCUGGCCCUGCUCCGUGGGUUAAGGAUCCUGCACUACUGUGAGCUGUGGUGUAAGUCACAGACACAGCAUGGAUCUGGCAUUGCUGUGGCUGUGGUGUAGGCUGCCAUGGUAACACCAGAUCCAAGCCGCAUCUGUGACCUACAUCGCAACUUGCAGCAACAUCGGAUCCCUAACCCACUGAAGUGAUGCCAGGGAUCGAACCCACAUCCUCACACAC
This 6732-nucleotide long non-coding RNA is filed under the name Sus scrofa (pig). RNAcentral describes it as "lncRNA (ENSSSCG00025029266.1)". The record is from RNAcentral. Lineage: Eukaryota; Metazoa; Chordata; Mammalia; Artiodactyla; Suidae.